CAUUUGGCAUCAUGUUGUCCUGACAUUGGAAGGAUGCAAAGAAGAUUACUAGCAUGGCCCCUGACCAAGGAUGGUAUGCAACUUAUAAAUCAUGUGACAUUGAAA
This 105-nucleotide small nuclear RNA is filed under the name Ictidomys tridecemlineatus (thirteen-lined ground squirrel). Lineage: Eukaryota; Metazoa; Chordata; Mammalia; Rodentia; Sciuridae. The record is from RNAcentral.